GAGUUUGAUCCUGGCUCAGGACGAACGCUGGCGGCGUGCUUAACACAUGCAAGUCGAACGGAAAGGCCCCUUCGGGGGUGCUCGAGUGGCGAACGGGUGAGUAACACGUGGGUGAUCUGCCCUGCACUUCGGGAUAAGCUUGGGAAACUGGGUCUAAUACCGGAUAGGACCACGCGCUGCAUGGUGUGUGGUGGAAAGUUUUUAAUGGUGUGGGAUGGGCCCGCGGCCUAUCAGCUUGUUGGUGGGGUGAUGGCCUACCAAGGCGACGACGGGUAGCCGGCCUGAGAGGGUGUCCGGCCACACUGGGACUGAGAUACGGCCCAGACUCCUACGGGAGGCAGCAGUGGGGAAUAUUGCACAAUGGGCGAAAGCCUGAUGCAGCGACGCCGCGUGAGGGAUGACGGCCUUCGGGUUGUAAACCUCUUUCAGCAGGGACGAAGCGAAAGUGACGGUACCUGCAGAAGAAGCACCGGCCAACUACGUGCCAGCAGCCGCGGUAAUACGUAGGGUGCAAGCGUUGUCCGGAAUUAUUGGGCGUAAAGAGCUCGUAGGCGGUCUGUCGCGUCGGCUGUGAAAACCUGGGGCUCAACCCCGGGCCUGCAGCCGAUACGGGCAGACUAGAAUUCGGUAGGGGAGACUGGAAUUCCUGGUGCAGCGGUGAAAUGCGCAGAUAUCGGGAGGAACACCGGUGGCGAAGGCGGGUCUCUGGGCCGAUAUUGACGCUGAGGAGCGAAAGCGUGGGGAGCGAACAGGAUUAGAUACCCUGGUAGUCCACGCCGUAAACGUUGGGCGCUAGGUGUGGGCCACAUUCCACGUGGUCUGUGCCGCAGCUAACGCAUUAAGCGCCCCGCCUGGGGAGUACGGCCGCAAGGCUAAAACUCAAAGGAAUUGACGGGGGCCCGCACAAGCGGCGGAGCAUGUGGCUUAAUUUCGAUGCAACGGCGAAGAACCAUUACCUGGGGCUUGACAUGCAGGGCAAAUCUCAUAACA
Molecule: ribosomal RNA, 990 nt
Filed under: uncultured Actinokineospora sp.
Lineage: Bacteria; Bacillati; Actinomycetota; Actinomycetes; Pseudonocardiales; Pseudonocardiaceae
Description: bacterial SSU rRNA
Rfam family: Bacterial small subunit ribosomal RNA
Source: RNAcentral